This 2414-nucleotide long non-coding RNA is filed under the name Rhinopithecus bieti (black snub-nosed monkey). Its description in RNAcentral is "lncRNA (ENSRBIG00000046655.1)". The record is from RNAcentral. Lineage: Eukaryota; Metazoa; Chordata; Mammalia; Primates; Cercopithecidae.
UUAUAACUUCAAAAACGCUUUUCUGUUUUCCAGAGAAGGAGCAAAUGUCAAAAUACUUCAGGAGUGGUCUUGAGCCAGAAUUCCUUUGUGGCUCCAUGAUGUAAAGUUCCCAUGGGAACCUAGAGAAGGACUUUCCCUAUAUUCCCCACCUCUUUGGGCUUCAGCAAAAGAAAAUGGACCUCAAGGGAAUCUUCAAGAGUUGCUUCAAAAUUUACUGUUCAUCGAAGCACUUGCUGAAGACUGGCUUCGUGUCAGAGGCUGUGCUGAAUGUUAUGGAGAAGGAGGUGAAGGAGAUUCGGUGCUUACCAUGAAGGAGAGGUGGCUGCAUGAAUGUGUCAGUUUAUCACAGUGCAAUAAGUGAGGUCCAUAGAGAGACCCAAAUGGUGAUAGCAACCAAUCAUUUAAGAGUCAGAGGAAAGUGGCAAAAUGUGAAGCUCUAUGAUGGAAGGUACUUUAUGACCCAGGCUGCCUUCUGGAUCAGAAAGAUACUCAAAGCUGUAAAGCUCACACAAAGCCAGGCUUUGUUAUCACCUGAGUGUGCAGAAGGACACUAAUCCUGAGUAUGUGCCACCUCGUACGCCUCUCACAUGCUUCUCCGUUUUCCCCACUUCACUCUCCUGGGUUCAUUCCAAGAUAGAGAAUGGAAGAAACCAGAGCUGAACUUGUGUGCCUGCAGUCCAGCUGUUAUGCCUGGAGAUGAGUUGUUCUGAACCUAUGGACAUAUAAGUUUAGAGUAUGUGGGAGACACUCUCUGCUUUAGCAGAUUUGGUCUUGGGCCAUACCUGCUGCUCUGAGCUCUGACAGUGUGGCUGUGGAAGGACUGUGAGGCCAGCCCAAUUUGCUCUUGGAAACAGCCUGCUCCGUUUUCCUUUGCUUUGAGCCCCGAUGUGGUCACAGCCUCUACUUUGGUGUCUCCUCAACACAGCUGAUGCCAACUGCUAUUCCCACGUAGCUGUGUUACCAAGGCCCAGGAUUCUUUUUUCAAUUAGAAAAUAUUUUUGCAAACAUUUUAAAGAACACAUAUUGUGCUUUUUCUUAUUAUAAAGUAAGACAUAUUCAAUGUAGAGAAUUUGGCAAAUACUGAAAAUAUGAAUUUUAAAAGCAAGCAUGAAUUCUGAUUCUGCCCGUCGGAGACAACCACUGUUAACAUUUUGUGAAAUUUCUCAUAGAUUUUUAAUCUAGAACCACGGGAAUUUCUAUGAUAGGAUGCUAUAAAAUGUGCUGUUAGACAUUCCAUUUUUUCUCUUAGUAACAUUUUGUGACUGUUUCCUCAUUUUAUUUAAGUAGUCUAUGCAGCCACAUUUAGAUAUGCUUAUGUGUGUGUCCACAUAUACAGAAUGCUUUCCAACAAUGUAUUUCAUAAUUUAACAUUGCCCUUAGGCAGGAACCCAUCCAGUAUUCCUACAUAGCAUUACUCUCCCAUUUGUGGUACAGCUACCACAAACUAUGUAUUUUGAUGUUUUACUCCUUACUCUUCAUGCCUAAUUGCAUUUUCUUCAUUUCUUAUUUUUUACAUCAAUUUUUUUAAAUCUAGUAAUACAGUGCUUAUAAAAAAAGACAAAACCCAUCUGUCUGUUUACCACCUAAGAAUCAGCUAUCUCCAGAAGAGAGAUAUUUCUGUUUGAGUUCGUCUAUGAGGGCUGUUUAAUUUUGAAAAGCAUAAAAAAUUAGCUGGCCGGGCGCAGUGGCUCACGCCUGUAAUCCCAGCACUUUGAGAGGCCGAGGCAGGCGGAUUGAGACCAUCCUGUCUAAGACAGUGAAACCCCGUCUCUACUAAAAAUAGAAAAAUUAGCUGGGAGUGGUGGCGGGCGCUUGUAGUCCCAGCUGCUGGGGAGGCUGAGGCAGGAGAAUGGCGUGAACCCGCGGGGCGGAACUUGCAGUGAGCAGAGAUCACACCACUGCACUCCAGCCUGGGCGACAGAGCAAAACUCCGUCCCCCCAAAAAAAUUUAAAAAGUAAUAAAUAAAUAAAUAAAUAAAUUAGCUAUGUUGAUUUGGUUUAUUGAAUAUAAUGGAAAAUACAAAUUAAUAGUAGCUUAAACACUUCAUCAUUAGUUUUCUCAGGUAGCAGAAGAUAUGUAGUCAAUCUUUACUAUUUAAGCUCUAUCAGGGACAAAGGCUCUGAUAGUUUUCUUCUUCCUUAUGACUUCCGUUUUCAAAUUUUCAAAAUGCCUGCUGUUGGAGCGCCUCAUUGUACAGAGCAGGAAUGAGUAAGGAAUCAAAAUAAAUAUGGCAUGCUCUAGCCAUAUCAGGAACUUUGAAGGAGUCUUUCUGGAAGUUCCAUACUGCACAUCUGCUUAAAUUUCACUGACCAGAGCUCAGCCAAGGGCUGGGAAGUUGUGAAUGUAGUCAUUUACCACUGAAUAAAAUCGAGGUUUUACUAUUCGUGGAAAGACAUGAAGAAUAUUGAGUAGG